RNAcentral lists this long non-coding RNA (1570 nucleotides) under Gouania willdenowi (blunt-snouted clingfish). RNAcentral describes it as "lncRNA (ENSGWIG00000015139.1)". The record is from RNAcentral. Lineage: Eukaryota; Metazoa; Chordata; Actinopteri; Blenniiformes; Gobiesocidae.
GGGGGCCAUGAGCUGAGAAGGUUGAGAACUACUGAUUUAAAGGGCCGUUUUUGGCCCCUGUGUCGUGAAUUUGACAUACGUGUGUUAAAUACGUUAUUUUAAUGUAUAUUUAUUGACCUAUACACUGUAAAUGAGGUUGUGCUCAGUCACACACUGACUCACACAUACCUAAAAUAGUGUGUAUGUACAUGAAGGAGGAAUGGAGGCGAGUUGAGACACAGCUUUCUUUUAUUUUGGUAGUCUUUCUCCUUCUCUUCGCUAUAAAUAGGCAGGCAUUGGCAGCUGAGGGCCAGUCCACGCAGAACAAAUGCCCCCCACCCCCGGGGUGUUUUUCUCCGUUCCCCACAUAAUGAGCUGGACAGAAUGAGCACAGAAGAUCACCACUUGUCCCUCAACCAUUGCCAGGGCCACACGUUGCCUAGGAGAUGUAUGGAGUAUGGGGGGGACCCUCCUUCCACUCUGGACUUUGGAUUCUCCUCCACCAAUCUGUUUGAUCAAACACCAUCUGUGAUGUCAUGGAGUGGGUAUCCCUCUCUCUCUCUCUCUCUCUCAGCUUCCUCUGCUAACAGAUUCCAGACCAGUGAACCGGGUCAUGUUCGGCUCCAGUGGCUGCAGCUGCACAAACUGAAGCUGCCCUGGACCUACACACCGAGGGGAUCGCCCCCAAGGCAACCAGGAGACAAGACAAGCACCAAGCCAUACCCGAAGAGAAGGGGCACCCCCACCCCCUGCAAGGCUGACACCGCCCAGAGAGACCCCGCCGCCUAGAGGCCCACCGCCCCGCCACUGAUGUAUUUGUGCUCUACACUGUGGCGCAGCCAUCUACAGAGGGGCCGGGCCCCCACACGACAGGCCUACAUAUGUGAACUGACCCACCAUCCUGUUAUGGUACCUCUCUAUUCCCCAAUGGAGUGAAUGUGUGUGUUUAGUGAAUGUAUGAGGUGCAAUUAAAAGAAAGGGGACGGGGGGAGCGACCCAACCUUUGUGUAUAUAUGUGUAUGUGGUGCUUUAGCUCUGGAGGGUGGAGGCGGUGGUCAUACCCUCCGGGGGGUGGUGUGUUGAAGUGUGAUUAAAAUUGGAGGGAUUGGUAGAGCACAUUCAGGUGGGAGUGCCGCCCCCAUGCCACUACAUGAUAGCAUACACGCUCCCCCACCCUUAGUAACUCUGUAAGAUGAUCAUUUAAACCGUAAAAGUGGCAUUGCUAAUGAUACUGUAAGUGCUGUAAACAUACGGCCGGAAAAAAAGUGACCAACCCACUCUCCCCCCUGUCACCCGGCUACACACACACACACACACACCUGGUCAUCACUUCACUGGAGCGAUGAAGUGAUGAGUGACCAAAAAACACCACUAUGCUCAAGCAACUCAUCAGGGGCGAUUGAAGUGACUGCACUCGCUGCAGUCGUGUUCGGUGUGAACCCACCUUAGAGUAGAAGGUGGUCAGAAAGAUAGUCGUAGGCGAUUCCGCCCGCUGCCUGCAUUUCUGGACACCCCUGCAGAAUUAAUCAAUACUGAAGCUUGUGUGAAUUUGGUCGAACACACGUUGUACGCUCAGAUCUGAAUGUACAAC